GUGAGGAAUAUUGCGCAAUGGGCGAAAGCCUGACGCAGCAACGCCGCGUGGAUGAUGAAGCUCUAAGGAGUGUAAAGUCCUGUUAGGAGGGAAGAAUAAUAGUUAUUCGAUAAGGAUAGCUGUUUGACGGUACCUCCAGAGAAAGCCCCGGCUAACUCCGUGCCAGCAGCCGCGGUAAUACGGGGGGGGCUAGCGUUGUCCGGAAUCAUUGGGCGUAAAGGGCGCGUAGGUGGAAUAAUAAGUCAGAGGUGAAAACCAUAGGCUUAACUUGUGGCCGGCCUUUGAAACUGUUAUUCUUGAGUGCGGUAGAGGGAAGCGGAAUUCCUGGUGUAGCGGUGAAAUGCGUAGAUAUCAGGAAGAACACCGGUAGCGAAGGCGGCUUCCUGGGCCGUAACUGACACUGAGGCGCGAAAGUGUGGGGAGCAAACAGGAUUAGAAACCCGAGUAGUCC
Molecule: ribosomal RNA, 451 nt
Filed under: uncultured bacterium
Lineage: Bacteria
Description: bacterial SSU rRNA
Rfam family: Bacterial small subunit ribosomal RNA
Source: RNAcentral